Molecule: ribosomal RNA, 465 nt
Filed under: Vreelandella stevensii
Lineage: Bacteria; Pseudomonadati; Pseudomonadota; Gammaproteobacteria; Oceanospirillales; Halomonadaceae
Description: partial 16S ribosomal RNA
Rfam family: Bacterial small subunit ribosomal RNA
Source: RNAcentral
CCUACGGGAGGCUGCAGUGGGGAAUAUUGGACAAUGGGCGAAAGCCUGAUCCAGCCAUGCCGCGUGUGUGAAGAAGGCCUUCGGGUUGUAAAGCACUUUCAGUGGGGAAGAAAGCCUUGGGGCUAAUACCCUCGAGGAAGGACAUCACCCACAGAAGAAGCACCGGCUAACUCCGUGCCAGCAGCCGCGGUAAUACGGAGGGUGCGAGCGUUAAUCGGAAUUACUGGGCGUAAAGCGCGCGUAGGCGGUCUGAUAAGCCGGUCGUGAAAGCCCCGGGCUCAACCUGGGAACGGCAUCCGGAACUGUCAGGCUAGAGUGCAGGAGAGGAAGGUAGAAUUCCCGGUGUAGCGGUGAAAUGCGUAGAGAUCGGGAGGAAUACCAGUGGCGAAGGCGGCCUUCUGGACUGACACUGACGCUGAGGUGCGAAAGCGUGGGUAGCAAACAGGAUUAGAUACCCGGGUAGUC